Molecule: ribosomal RNA, 253 nt
Filed under: uncultured bacterium
Lineage: Bacteria
Description: partial 16S ribosomal RNA
Rfam family: Bacterial small subunit ribosomal RNA
Source: RNAcentral
UACGGGGGGGGCAAGCGUUGUUCGGAAUUACUGGGCGUAAAGGGCUCGUAGGUGGCCAACUAAGUCGGAUGUGAAAUCCCCAGGCUUAACCUGGGAACUGCAUCCGAUACUGGAUGGCUUGAAUCCGGGAGAGGGAUGCAGAAUUCCAGGUGUAGCGGUGAAAUGCGUAGAUAUCUGGAGGAAUACCGGUGGCGAAGGCGGCAUCCUGGACCGGCAUUGACGCUGAUGAGCGAAAGCUAGGGGAGCAAACGGG